UCCGGUUUGUCACCGGCAGUCUCAUUAGAGUGCCCUUUCGUAGCAACUAAUGACAAGGGUUGCGCUCGUUGCGGGACUUAACCCAACAUCUCACGACGCGAGCUGACGACAGCCAUGCAGCACCUGUGUAUCGGCUCUCUUUCGAGCACUCCCACCUCUCAGCGGGAUUCCGACCAUGUCAAGGGCUGGUAAGGUUCUGCGCGUUGCGUCGAAUUGAACCACAUGCUCCACCGCUUGUGCGGGCCCCCGUCAAUUCCUUUGAGUUUCAACCUUGCGGCCGUACUCCCCAGGCGGGGUGCUUAACGCGUUAGCUGCGACACUGACGAGCAAGCCCGCCAACGUCUAGCACCCAUCGUUUACGGCGUGGACUAC
RNAcentral lists this unclassified non-coding RNA (372 nucleotides) under uncultured Alphaproteobacteria bacterium. RNAcentral's name for it is "contains 16S-23S intergenic spacer region". The record is from RNAcentral. Lineage: Bacteria; Pseudomonadati; Pseudomonadota; Alphaproteobacteria.